RNAcentral lists this ribosomal RNA (458 nucleotides) under uncultured bacterium. RNAcentral describes it as "partial 16S ribosomal RNA". It matches the Rfam family "Bacterial small subunit ribosomal RNA", at positions 338 to 795 of the family's 1533-position model. The record is from RNAcentral.
CCUACGGGGGGCAGCAGUGGGGAAUAUUGCACAAUGGGGGAAACCCUGAUGCAGCGACGCCGCGUGAGUGAAGAAGUAUUUCGGUACGUAAAGCUCUAUCAGCAGGGAAGAAAAACCGGCCUUAGGGCCGCCAGACGGUACCUGACUUAGAAGCCCCGGCUAACUACGUGCCAGCAGCCGCGGUAAUACGUAGGGGGCAAGCGUUAUCCGGAUUUACUGGGUGUAAAGGGAGCGUAGGCGGCAGCGCAAGUGUGGAGUGAAAUGCCGGGGCCCAACCCCGGAACUGCUUUUGAAACUGUUGGUCUUGAGUAUCGGAGAGGCAGGCGGAAUUCCGAGUGUAGCGGUGAAAUGCGUAGAUAUUAGGAGGAACACCAGUGGCGAAGGCGGCCUGCUGGACGACAACUGACGGUGAGGCGCGAAAGCGUGGGGAGCAAACAGGAUUAGAUACCCGAGUAGUC